Molecule: non-coding RNA, 1862 nt
Organism: Sturnus vulgaris (Common starling)
Lineage: Eukaryota; Metazoa; Chordata; Aves; Passeriformes; Sturnidae
Source: RefSeq, a predicted model, not a curated record
UUUUUCUGCUUGCUUUGGUAUCAUUUUUUGUUUCAUUUAAAAAUAAGUGUAGAUGUAUGUCACCUCUUACAUCAGUAAAGGCAAGGUAUGAGACGUAAGUCUGGCAUUUGGUGCAGAAACUGAUGAGGAGUUGCCAAAGGAAAUCAUUCUCCUGUAUCUGACUGGCUUAAGAAGAUUUUGUCUGGCAGGCCAAGCUUUGCCCAGGAUUAUUAAUCUUCUGGAGAAGUCUUUCCGCUAUAGCUUCACUUUGAUUUUCAAGGUGAUAGUUCUCAAACUCUGUGGUUCCCUCUUCUCUAUGUUUCUGUUGCUGUUCCCUGGUGACAUCAGAGUAGUUCUCCUCACCUCUGUCAUCAUUCCUACCAGCAACUUCUAUUUUGUGUCUUCUCAGUCAGAGAUGUGCUGAGUGUCCUCUCUGCCCUGGCUUUGUCCUUUCUUCAUCUGCUACAAUAAAACUAUCAUGCCUGUGUUUGCUCAAAGCAUUACUGAGUUCUGUUUUCCUUUUGAAUCACAUGGUGACAUAAAAUUUAUAUUCUGGCUGCCGAAGCACUGCUGUGGCUUUCCAUUGCUGAAGCCAUGUGUGUGAGAUGUUUGAGUUUCUGCUGAAGUAAUCUGUGCCUCUGAAACAUCACCUAUUGCUUGCACUUGUCCUCAUCUUAUCAAGUCAUUAGAUGCCUCUGGUACUUUUCUUACUGUUAAGGCAUAAAACUAUUGUUUUUGUGCCCUUUGUGAAAGAGUUUGAUAAAAUUUCCUGGUCUGUGGAAUGAAAAGAGACUUUACCUUUAGGCAGGAGUCUUUUAAAGCUUUGGGCUAAAUCUUUUUUUUACUUGUCUUCCAGGUAAAUCCAAUAUAAGACAUCACAGAAGUCUCUUGGUAGAGUGGCAUAGUGACUCAAGACUGGAAUAUAAUUCCUGGUUUAUAUACCCUUUUCUCAUUGUGGAAUUACCUUCAGCUUGUUGAGUGGUCAAAAACAUAAAGUUGUCAGAAAAGAGCAAGAUGGAGAGCUAGACAAUUUUCUUGAAGACAAACAAGCUGUGUAAGUCAUCUGAUUACAGCAAUUCAGAGAGAGGGGAAUCUCCACCCAGGUGGCAUGUGAGUAAAGUGUGUGGACUGGUCCAGAGGGGUUCAGUUGAAGUAUAGUGGUCCUUUGGAAAACAACCUUUUUUAUUACAGUAGAACACUGCUAUCACCCCUUUUCACGUUAAUGUGGUUUUCAGAAUUUGACAGAUAAGAUGGUGAGAGAGCUGACAGCAGAGCUGUGGAGCUUCUUGCCCUGCAGGGAAAGCUGGUGAUGUUGGAAGAGGUGAUGCUGGGAAGAACCUACUGCUGUUGUUUUGCCCUUGGCUGUAGCAGUUGUGAAACAACCACAGUGACAAAGUGUGGCUUGCAUGGGUGGAGUGUGAAUUUGAAUGUAUGAAUCAAAUUACCAGGACUGAAACACAGGUGGCUUUCACCAGAGGAACAAAUGCAGAGGAUCCAUCAAGGAGUCAGUACUGCUAUGUGCAGUAUAUGAGCCAUAUCCUGCAACUGUUAUCUGCUCCUGUUCAUUAAAAGCUCCAUGUAGCAGCUGUGAUUACAUUAAUAUAAGAAUUAGUAAAUUGCAGACAAUCUGCUAUCCGUGCAUCCAGUCUCUCCUUGAUUUCUCUAGUCUCAGCUGGAAGUGUAUGUUAUUGAAAGGCAGAAUGCCUUUCAAGCAGAAGAAUGCUAAUGUAGGAAGACAUGCUUAAGAUCUUGGAAUAAGGAGGACACCUUCAGGAAGAGAGAAAUUUGGUUGUUGUCAAAACCAGACUUAAGAACAGAAAAACAACAUCAUUAUUCUCCAGGAGUUGGUAUGCUAGACUAAUUAAACUGAAGGCACUGAAAAA